This 253-nucleotide ribosomal RNA is filed under the name uncultured bacterium. Its description in RNAcentral is "partial 16S ribosomal RNA". It matches the Rfam family "Bacterial small subunit ribosomal RNA", at positions 524 to 776 of the family's 1533-position model. The record is from RNAcentral.
UACGAAGGGCGCAAGCGUUAUCCGGAAUUAUUGGGCGUAAAGAGCUCGUAGGCGGUUUGUCGCGUCUGCCGUGAAAGUCCGGGGCUCAACUCCGGAUCUGCGGUGGGUACGGGCAGACUAGAGUGAUGUAGGGGAGACUGGAAUUCCUGGUGUAGCGGUGAAAUGCGCAGAUAUCAGGAGGAACACCGAUGGCGAAGGCAGGUCUCUGGGCAUUAACUGACGCUGAGGAGCGAAAGCAUGGGGAGCGAACAGG